RNAcentral lists this unclassified non-coding RNA (428 nucleotides) under soil metagenome. RNAcentral's name for it is "partial contains 5.8S ribosomal RNA, internal transcribed spacer 2, and large subunit ribosomal RNA". The stretch from base 1 to 120 matches the Rfam family "5.8S ribosomal RNA", at positions 35 to 154 of the family's 154-position model. The record is from RNAcentral.
GAUGAAGAACGUAGCGAAACGCGAUACGUAAUGUGAAUUGCAGAAUUCAGUGAAUCAUCGAAUCUUUGAACGCACCUUGCGCCCCUCGGCAUUCCGAGGGGCAUGCCUGUUUGAGUGUCACGGAUCCUUCGAACCCCGCCGGUCUCCGACGAGCCGGCCGCCUGGGUUCGGUCCUGGGCGCUACGCCACCCCUCCGGGGCUGGCCCGCCUCAAACGCAUCAGCUGGGCCUCGCGGCGUGGGCGGGCUCCGAUCGGCGUGAUAAGUCAUCUGCCGAGAGGGUGCCCGUCCGUCCCGCGGAUCGCGGUCCGCUCCCAACCCCUCCCCGCGCGCCGUCCCCCCCCGGGGAGCGCGCGGGGACGUUUCGACGCUCUGGCCUCAAAUCAGGUAGGACCACCCGCUGAACUUAAGCAUAUCAAUAAGCGGAGGA